This 528-nucleotide small RNA is filed under the name Pongo abelii (Sumatran orangutan). RNAcentral's name for it is "processed transcript". Lineage: Eukaryota; Metazoa; Chordata; Mammalia; Primates; Hominidae. The record is from RNAcentral.
UUUCCUUGAAACUCUGUUCCUGGCAUUUAACCUGUAUCCCUUCUAUCAGGUUUGCAACUGUGCGAUAUGAUCAAGGAGCCAAGAACAUUCGGAACCAGUUCAUGCAUCUGACAAACUACAGUGUCAACAAGAAAAGUGGAGAUUACGUCAGUUGUGAUGAUCCAGAAGUGGAGGAUUAUGGAAACAAAUGGAGCAUGAGUGCUAUGCUUAGGUACCUGAAGCAAGAAGGCAGAGAUACAACCGCAUUGAUGGCCCAUGUAGAAGACCUGAUCAUUAAGACUAUCAUCUCUGCUGAACUAGCUAUUGCUACUGCCUGUAAAACCUUUGUUCCUCAUCGCAGCAGUUGUUUUGAACUCUAUGGCUUUGACGUGCUCAUAGAUUCUACUCUGAAGCCAUGGUUGUUGGAAGUGAAUCUCUCUCCUUCUUUGGCCUGUGAUGCGCCUCUGGACCUAAAGAUUAAAGCCAGUAUGAUUUCAGAUAUGUUCACUGUUGUAGGAUUUGUGUGCCAAGAUCCUGCCCAGCGGGCAU